UUUCUGCAUCUUCUCUUUAAACUUGGCUGUUGGCAGUGAAUCUGGUUUGGUCAGAUAUCUUUCACUAUUGACUACUAAAUUUCACUUCUAAGUUUUACUAUGCUGAUUGUCUUUCUACCAACAUGUAUAGGUCCGUAUUUAUAACCUCAAAGGGUGUUCAGAUGGGGUAAAAUUCCUCUUUGUAACUGAAACCAAAUGUGAAGUUUGUGAAGCAUGGAGGUAAACUUGCAGUGGGAUUUGAAUGCGGUCAUGUUGCAAUGCUGGACACAAGUUCCUUAUCUAUAUUGUUCUUCAUAAAAGGUGCAUCUUUCUCUAGCUCCCCAGUCAUUUCAAUGACUUGGACAGAAAUUACAAAUCCUCAAGGCCGCUUGAAGAGUUCAAAGCUCUUGGAAACUAAAUCACCAGUUCACCCUGCAGAGGAAGUAAUGUUCAUUUAACCAAAGAUGCAAAUAUACAUUUAAUUUGUGGAACAUGGGAUCAUUGGGUGUUAGUGCUACAAGACAGUACCAUUUUAACUCCCUAGCUGUUCCGCGCAAAGCAAAAGAAGCAAUUGGAGGAAUUACCCGUCUUACUCAUGCUGAUGUUUAGCGACUGUUGUUUCAGGAGUUCUUCAAUCACAAGUUUCUCAGAGAAUUGAGGGUGAUGGUGGAAGUUGAACACACUUCACCACUUAAAUCAACGGGUGAAUAGCCUAGUUCUUCUAGCUCCGAUAAGAUGUUGCAUUUGCAUGCAGAUUUGAAGGGUUUAAUCCAACAAGGGAGUAUGGUGGGAUUUGCAUAUCCUCUUGGUUUCAUGUCCACCAGUGACUGUCAGCCCAAAUAAAUAUUUUGUUAUGCUAUUCAGGUGUGCAAACAAUGUCAGAGGUAAUGAGAGGGAAGGAUAUUUUAUCACUGUUGAUAUUGAGAAAGGGAUGCAAGAUGGACAAUUUAUGUAGUAUUCCUUCUCUAAUACAUGAGCUCUCCUAUCGAUUUACGAACCAAAGCAGACUUCACAUGGGCUACCAAGAUUGCACAGCAAUGGAAACAAUACAUAAUCCCACCCCACGAUUCAAGGAUAAGCUUCAUAAGUUCAAGAUAUGACUUCAUAAGGCGUAGUGCCAAUUUGGUAGUAGUUUUCAUAUAGAAAGAUGACAUCUAGGUUGGAUUGAGUAUAUACUUUUAUUUGAAAAUUUUAUAUAUGUAUAUGGGGUAUACUUUGUUCACUGAUGGAAGUAAUAUAUAUGACAAUGACAGUUUGUGUAUU
This 1242-nucleotide long non-coding RNA is filed under the name Rosa chinensis. RNAcentral describes it as "sRNA RchiOBHm_Chr5g0037371". Lineage: Eukaryota; Viridiplantae; Streptophyta; Magnoliopsida; Rosales; Rosaceae. The record is from RNAcentral.